GCCGCUUUCUGGAUGCCAAAAUGUCCAAAUUGAAAUCCGGUGAGUUUUGUCCUAAAAAUUCGUUUAAAGUGAUGAUGUACUUAUUCACUUCUAAUAAUCUGCUCAUGUAGAAUAUCGUCCUUCUUUAAGAACUGGUCGGGGUCAGGGUGGUUAUGAAACUUGUUCCACCAGUAAAUAGAAUAAAACGGAACUUGAAGAAAAAUAAGUCGCACUGUUGGGAACUGGUGUAUAAAGGU
RNAcentral lists this long non-coding RNA (236 nucleotides) under Mytilus galloprovincialis (Mediterranean mussel). The record is from RNAcentral. Lineage: Eukaryota; Metazoa; Mollusca; Bivalvia; Mytilida; Mytilidae.